Long non-coding RNA from Macaca mulatta (Rhesus monkey), 1653 nucleotides. NCBI's taxonomy places the organism in Eukaryota, Metazoa, Chordata, Mammalia, Primates, Cercopithecidae. The record is from Ensembl.
AGAAGCAUCCCGGCGAGAGCUGGGAGCACACGGUGAAGGAGAUCCCAGGGUCCCUGCUGCGCCGCGCCCACAGGCGCCCGGCAGAGACUGACAGGUGAAGCCAGGCAGUGUGGCCACAGCUCCCAGAGGCUGCGUCCGGCCUUUCUGCACCCGCAGGGGCGUCUGUGCUGAAGAAAUGGUGCUGCAGGUACGGAGGGCGCGGUGGGAGUGGGAACUGUGUUUGCCCCCUGGAACUUACUUUCUGGCUGGAGCACCACUUAAGAUUCAUCUUGGGUAAAAAACCAGAUCGGGCGCACCCAAGAUGGCCGAAUAGGAGCAGCUCCAGCCUCCAGCUCCCAGCGCCAGCGACACAGAAGACGGGUGAUUUCUGCAUUUUCAACGGAGGAGUGACUUUCUACAGCUCUGCCACUGAGGAAGACAAGGACUUUGAAAAUAGUUUUAUUUUUCCUUUUUGGUCACAAGGGCCUGGCAAAGGGACAGAGCCCAGGGUUGGUACCAUGUGAGGGCAGCAGGCCCAGAGUUCUCCCUGCUCUGCCCACAAAGAUGUGUGACCCUGAGCAGGUCGUUCUACCCCUGCAGUUCUCAUUUUCAAAUCUUAUAGCAAAACAACCUGUAUAACUGGAUUAAAAAAUGGACAAAGGACUUGAAUAGACAUUUCUCCCAGGAAGAUAUACAAAUGGCCAACAAGCAUACAAAAAAGGGCUCAGCAUCACCCAUCAUUAGAGAAAUGCAAGUCAAACCCACAAUGAGAUAUCACUUUACACCUGUAAAGAUGGCUAGUAUCAAACAAGACCCAAAAACCAAAGGAAAACCAUGAAAGAUAAAGGUUGGCAAAGCUAUGCAGAAAUCGGAAAAUUUAGACUGUGUUGGUGGGAAUAUAAAAUGGUGCAGCCACCAUAGAAAACAGGGUGGAAGUUCCCCCCAAAUUAAAAUAGAACUAUCAUGUGAUCCAUCAAUCCCACUGCUGGCUAUUAAUCUAGGAGAACUGAAGUCAGGGUCUCGAAGAGAUGUCCGCACCACCAUCUUCAUUCAGCAUUGCUCACGACGCCAAGACGUGCAAGCAAACUAACUGUCCGUCAACAAAUGAGUGGAUGCAGAAAGUGUGGCUUCUGUGUGUUUUUACAGCAGUCUGAGUGAACUAAGACACUAGUGAUGGGCUCUUACAGGCAUCACCUUAUUACGUGCCAGCACUCCUCCAUUAUAAACCCAUUUCAAAGUUGUGGCUUCAAGAGGUUACAUUAAGAAACUCAUUCAAGAUCGGGUGGGCAGGCUGCUCUCUGGAAGUCCAAGAUCGAGGUGCCAGGAUAUUCAGCGUCUGCUGAGGGCCUGUGCCUGUGUGUGUGUGUGUGUGUGUGUGUGUGUGUGUGUGUACACACAGUGGAAUAUUACUCAGCUCUGAAAAAAGAAGGGAAUUCUGCCAUUUGUGGCAACCUGGAUGAAUCCUGAGGACAUUAUGCUGAUUGAAAUAAGCCAGACACAGAAAGGCAAACGCUUCGUGAUUUCACUUAGGAGACGUCUAAAACAGUCAGUUCAUAGAAACGGAGUAGAAUAGUGGUUGUCAGAAGCCAGAGGAGGGAGAAAUGGGGAGUUUCUGUUUAAAAGCUGUAAUGUUUCUGUUAUGCAAAAUGAAAAGCUUCUGGAGGUCUCCUGUGU